GUGGGGAAUUUUGGACAAUGGGCGCAAGCCUGAUCCAGCAAUGCCGCGUGCAGGAAGAAGGCCUUCGGGUUGUAAACUGCUUUUGUACGGAACGAAACGGUCCGGGUUAAUACCCUGGGCUAAUGACGGUACCGUAAGAAUAAGCACCGGCUAACUACGUGCCAGCAGCCGCGGUAAUACGUAGGGUGCAAGCGUUAAUCGGAAUUACUGGGCGUAAAGCGUGCGCAGGCGGUUUUGUAAGACAGGCGUGAAAUCCCCGGGCUCAACCUGGGAAUUGGGCUGGUGACUGCAAGGCUGGAGUGCGGCAGAGGGGGAUGGAAUUCCGCGUGUAGCAGUGAAAUGCGUAGAUAUGCGGAGGAACACCGAUGGCGAAGGCAAUCCCCUGGGCCUGCACUGACGCUCAUGCACGAAAGCGUGGGGAGCAAACAGGAUUAGAUACCCGUGUAGUCC
Molecule: ribosomal RNA, 450 nt
Filed under: uncultured bacterium
Lineage: Bacteria
Description: partial 16S ribosomal RNA
Rfam family: Bacterial small subunit ribosomal RNA
Source: RNAcentral